Molecule: long non-coding RNA, 895 nt
Organism: Solanum pennellii
Lineage: Eukaryota; Viridiplantae; Streptophyta; Magnoliopsida; Solanales; Solanaceae
Exons: 2
Source: RefSeq, a predicted model, not a curated record
ACAGCCUCUUGAUAUCAAAAUAUGUUCCCUAUUGAAACUUACACUAUAGACAACUAGAAGAAGAAUAUUAUUCAUCAAAAACUAAAUCACUCCCUUCCAAUGUGAUUUUUUUGAAAUGAAAAGUGACAAUUUAGGUUGUUCAUGCAUCAACUUAUGUAGUUGAUGAAUCAAUCACUUAAGUAGUAGUUUGUUUUUCGAUUUUAUUGAAGAAUGAAUUAUAUUAAUUUAUUAUUUGUGUAUAGCCUCAUGUGUGUAGAUAAAAUGAAUUCCAGUGAUUCCACUGUUAUGGAAGAUGAUGCGCCUCUUGUGAAUCCUUCAACAGAGGUUAUCGUCAGUCGAUUUGAUAAUUUCUAUCAAAGAAACAGAACCAUUGCUGCAAGAAAGGAUCCUAGAAAAUCUAGAAGAAUAGAAGAAUCAUUGCUUGCUAAUCAUGCCACAAUGAAAAAUAAUGAGGCAGAUGAGGAAUCUGACUCUGAGGCUCAACACCAAAGGAGUUCUAAAAUAGAGAUCCCACUUCUUUCAGAGGUGAUAAUGAAAGUAGAGAUCCCACUAUUAUAAAGAUGAUGCCCCUCUUGACAAUCCUUCAACAGAGGUUGUCGUCAAGAUUCAAGACUAUCUAAUUUUCAGAUUACGACUUGCAUACAGUGAUGGAGAACCAUCAUUUACAGGAUGAAAUUAUUGAGUCAUGUACUAUUAGUGUUCGGUCAGGUAUAAGAAAAUCAUUUCAUGAUUUUAUAGAGAUUCUUGUCAAAAUAAAAUUAGUAAAGUUUUUCCGGUCUAGUUUAUUUGGAAAGUAUUUAGACCUGUCCAAUAACAAAACUCAUUUCAUAUGAAUUUGACAUAUCAUUUUCUUCGAUGAAGAAUUAUUACUGAUAAAAAAAAGCACUUUGGAUCA